AUUUAACCACCACAAAAAUGAGAAUAUAAAAUGUAGUGAUAUACAGUUCAACUACUUAUUCACGGCAACUUAAGAUUUUAAUGCUAGACAAGCCACUUUUUCCUCAGCAGCCACUUUAAAGCUAAUGUGGGUUAUGAAGAUAUUGAAAAAAAAAUCACGUAUACUUGCUUUUUUAAAUUGCUGCACUCAAAAGUACCAAUUCUAGAUGAGUCCAUUCCACAAAGAACUAGAGCAUGUGUGUUUAAAAGUUUAACUUUCAAUACAAAAGAGAUAUACAGAUCAAAGAUUCAACUCUGUUUAGACUUUUUUGCCAUCUUCAAAAUAUUCAGACCAUAGCUGUUCCAAUUUUCUUACCUUAUAGAGCAGAAAUUGUUAAAACCAGUCAAAAUUUAUUUCUCAAAUACGCAUGGCUUUGAAUUUAGAAAAGCUUAGCUCUAAGUCUAGCUGUGAGCCAAAUGUCAGCCCAUGACCAAUUUUGUGGUUGUAUUGGAAAUUCCUGGGAAAUAGCUUAAGAGGAGACACGACGUCAACUCCUGUGCUGUGAGAGGGGCUAUAAAUUGGGUUACAUUUUGAAGAGUGAAAUAUGUCAAUGGUUGCAAUUCACAUAUCGAAUAUUCCAGCAUUAUUUAUUUGAUCAAAGUAAAAUACACUUUCCAUCACUACAAACUGAGCACAACUAUAGUUGUUUACACAUCCAUAUUUUUAUGACGUGCCAACAUUUUACAUCCUACGUAAAACAUUUGGUUUGAAAAAAAUCUUGAAGUUCUCUGUUUUGUUUCCUAUUUUCUCUCCUGUUGCCUCCAUUCUCUGAAGACAUUUUCUAUUAAUUGUGUAAGACUGAUUUCCCCAGACACCUAAAUGGUAUGGAGGACAGCAGGGAACAGCACAAGAUUUACCAUGCGGAGGGUUGGAUGGCAAACCUAACUUUGGCUAAUGACAUUGAGAACUUAGAAGGGUGAGCAGAGAGAUAUUCCAGGAAGUGGUAGUGAACCUAUAUUCCCAUUUAUGAGAAGCAGAGAAGGUUACAUACAUAAUAAUCUAUUGGAGGUAAAAGACUUCAGACACAAUCACUAAUUU
Molecule: non-coding RNA, 1077 nt
Organism: Ceratotherium simum simum (southern white rhinoceros)
Lineage: Eukaryota; Metazoa; Chordata; Mammalia; Perissodactyla; Rhinocerotidae
Source: RefSeq, a predicted model, not a curated record